RNAcentral lists this ribosomal RNA (347 nucleotides) under uncultured bacterium. Its description in RNAcentral is "partial 16S ribosomal RNA". It matches the Rfam family "Bacterial small subunit ribosomal RNA", at positions 338 to 682 of the family's 1533-position model. The record is from RNAcentral.
CCUACGGGUGGCAGCAGUGAGGAAUAUUGGUCAAUGGGCGCGAGCCUGAACCAGCCAAGUAGCGUGAAGGAUGACUGCCCUACGGGUUGUAAACUUCUGUUAUAAAGGAAUAAAGUGAGGCACGUGUGCCUUUUUGUAUGUACUGUAUGAAUAAGGAUCGACUAACUCCGUGCCAGCAGCCGCGGUAAUACGGAGGAUCCGAGCGUUAUCCGGCUUUAUUGGGUUUACAGGGAGCGUAGAGGGGUUGGUAAGUCAGUUGUGCAAGUUUGCGGCUCCACCGGAAAAUUGCAAUUGAUACUGGCAGUCUUGUGUACCGUUGCGGUUGGCGGCAUUCGUGGUGUAGCGGU